This 325-nucleotide unclassified non-coding RNA is filed under the name Hevea brasiliensis (rubber tree). The record is from RNAcentral. Lineage: Eukaryota; Viridiplantae; Streptophyta; Magnoliopsida; Malpighiales; Euphorbiaceae.
CGGAAUACUUGGGUUGAUAGGAGUCACCGGAUUAACUGGCACCGGAACUGUAGGAGCCGGCUCAACCACUGGAGUACUAGGAGGGGUACCAUAGUAUCCUCCACUCCUGUCUGAGGGUGCAGAUGGUGUAGUAUACGAGGGUGAUGAUGGUGUAGUUGUCCCGUUGCUCCCACUGCCCCCGUCUGAGGGUGCUGAUGGUGUCCCGUAUCCGGGUAACGAUGGUGCUGAUGGACUCCCGUAGUAACCUCCACUGCCCCCGUCUGAGGGUGCUGAUGGUGUCCCGUAUCCGGGUAACGAUGGUGCUGAUGGACUCCCGUAGUAACCU